RNAcentral lists this transfer RNA (73 nucleotides) under Staphylococcus aureus. RNAcentral describes it as "tRNA-Lys". It matches the Rfam family "tRNA". Rfam says of the family: Transfer RNA (tRNA) molecules are approximately 80 nucleotides in length. Their secondary structure includes four short double-helical elements and three loops (D, anti-codon, and T loops). Lineage: Bacteria; Bacillati; Bacillota; Bacilli; Caryophanales; Staphylococcaceae. The record is from RNAcentral.
GAGCCAUUAGCUCAGCUGGUAGAGCAUCUGACUUUUAAUCAGAGCGUCAGAGGUUCGAAUCCUCUAUGGCUCA